This 30-nucleotide non-coding RNA is filed under the name Rattus norvegicus (Norway rat). The record is from RNAcentral. Lineage: Eukaryota; Metazoa; Chordata; Mammalia; Rodentia; Muridae.
UAGGUGACCAGGUUGCUCUUGCGAUGAAAA